This 479-nucleotide ribosomal RNA is filed under the name uncultured bacterium. RNAcentral describes it as "partial 16S ribosomal RNA". It matches the Rfam family "Bacterial small subunit ribosomal RNA", at positions 28 to 507 of the family's 1533-position model. The record is from RNAcentral.
GAUGAACGCUGGCGGCGUGCUUAACACAUGCAAGUCGAACGAAGCACCUUGAUUCGAUUCUUCGGAUGAAGAUCUUGGUGACUGAGUGGCGGACGGGUGAGUAACGCGUGGGUAACCUGCCUCAUACAGGGGGAUAACAGUUAGAAAUGACUGCUAAUACCGCAUAAGACCACAGCACCGCAUGGUGCAGGGGUAAAAACUCGGGUGGUAUGAGAUGGACCCGCGUCUGAUUAGGUAGUUGGUGGGGUAACGGCCUACCAAGCCGACGAUCAGUAGCCGACCUGGGAGGGUGACCGGCCACAUUGGGACUGAGACACGGCCCAAACUCCUACGGGAGGCAGCAGUGGGGAAUAUUGCACAAUGGGGGAAACCCUGAUGCAGCGACGCCGCGUGAGCGAUGAAGUAUUUCGGUAUGUAAAGCUCUAUCAGCAGGGAAGAAAAUGACGGUACCUGACGAAGAAGCACCGGCUAAAUACGUG